GUAAUUUCCUCAUAGCCAAAUUCAGGAAGACAUGAUAUUUUCUUUCAUUGUAUUUGCCAAAUACUUGUCUUUCCCACUCCCUGUGCUCAAGUCUGAAACAUAUUCCCCCUUUAUGCCUUUGUAUGGAGCUACUGAAUAAUAUAACUGUGAUUUUCACCUAAGUAACAAAAUUCCUGACUCAUGUUCCUCAUCUGCAAAAUAGAUUAAUUAUUGUUUCUCUUCCAAGGUUAGUGAGAUAGAGUUACAAAAUUAAUUUUUAAUUCAACACAUAUUUAGUAAGUUAUUUAGUAUUUCCAGCACAAUUGAAAAGAUUUUAGCGUGUCAGUCAACAACUGCUUUGGAGAAAAAUACUAGGGGUUAAGAGGAAGGUGAAGGUGUAUCAUUUUAAAAAGCUGUUCAGGUAGAAACUUUUAAGAAAGUGAAACUGGACAAGGUAUUUGAAAAAAGUCAGAUAAAGAACUACGUGAGAAUCUGAAGGAGGAGGAUUUCUGCAAGAGGGAAUGAAGAGAAAGUCCCUGAAAUAGGAAUGAACACAGAUUUGCCUGUGUGGGCUGGUCAAUGAACAGCUGGCUGGGAGAAGGAGUUGAAGACACAGGCAGGGGCAAAUGAGGUCCCUAAACAACCAGUCAAAACAGACAAGAGACACCAGUACAACAAUGAUGGAUGACACAAACCUCACCUUUGAUGCUGCUCAUGAUGGAUUGCUGAGUCUGUUGAAACUUAUGCUUCGGGAGACCUAACAGAGCACAGAUCAUGAUGAUCAGCUCUUGAUAUAUGGUAAAUUAACCAUCCAAGGCCAAAUAUCCAUUUUCUCCUAGAGUCUGGAAGUACUCCAGCUGUUAUUUUUCAGCGGUGUAUAGUUUUCUAUUGAAGUCAUCAUGCUCCAAAAAUCAAAGGCUCAAAAUAUUACCAUUAUCUCUUAGAGAUUGCCAGAAAUUUCAUGUGGCUUCUGUUUCAGUGUUAAUGCAUCUAAAACCAGCUUCUUUAUUCCUCAUUUUAGAGGUUACUCCCUGGAGUGCUCAAGUGCAACAGGCCUCAACAAGUUUUAAAGUAAUAGAAUAGCACCACAAAUGAAACCAUUAUUUUUUUAUGUAAUUAGUCCACACAAAAAGUUGAAAUAACUUCUAUAUUAAAGUGAAUAUAAUAUAACCUAACUCUAAUAGUAUUCAUCUGCAAUUCUUUCUCAGGAAGAUUACACCCUGAGACUUCACUGAUACUGCAAGAGUGGAAGUAGGUAGGUCAUUCAGAUGACUGACAGUGGUGGAAGUUAAUAAUUUUGGGGGUCAUAUUCAGUUCAGGACCACAAUAAUAUUUCGGUGCUAAUAUAUUUUAUCACAUUAAUUGCUUAUAACUUAAAAAAUGCUAACAUGUAAAUUUAAGAUGGAAUCAACCUUUCUCCUUUCAAUCCACAUAAUCUCAAACCUAAACUCUGUCUGUCUGGCCAAUGUAGAAAUAGAAUUCCAGAAGCUAGGUCCUUAACUUUGGUGUGCCUCCUAUCUUCUCAAAAUAGAGCACUACCAAUCUUUAAUUACAUCUCAAGUCAAUUUAUUUAGCAUAAUACUAUUUUGCUGUUAAGUUCAUGUGACAUAAAAGAAAUAUUUACAGAAAAAAGACAGGUGUUGAAAGCUUAAUUAUAUUAUUUUAAAAAUAUAUUAUAAUUCCAAAGUACAGUUUAAAGCACAAAAUUUCUCAUUUACAUUAGCUCUGGUCUACAGAUUUGACCCUGUGAAGUCACUUAGUUCAAGAAAAAGAAGAAUUUUUUUCCCUUCAAUGAAUCAGUAUAUUGACAAUAAGUUGGUAAUGACACCAUGCGCUCUUAAACUGUUUUUACUUAAUUUUCCAGACCUACAAAUGGCUUUCAAAAUGUACUGUAGAGGGCAGGUAAAAGUACAGUGAUCAGGACUAAAUUCAACUCCAGCUCAACCCCAGCUUGUGUAAACAAAGCGCCUCUGCUUUUGUCUGCUUCACAUUGUAAAGUUCUGAAAAAAGUACUUUAAAAGAUGACCCUAGCAGACAAAGAGGGAGAUUGCACACUAUUGUCCUAAGCCUAUUGCACUGUACUUACAGCUGACUUGAUCUGUACUGAAAUUAUAAAUUUCUACAGAUUUAUAAAUGUUAAAACUUGUGUCAAGAUUAUGAGGGUUAGGAUCAAUAUUGCUAUGAUCUUUUUGGUUACACUGAUGAAGCAUUUUUGGUGAAGAAAUAAAGGAGCAAUCAAAAGGAACAGGUUUAUGUGCAGAAAAGGCUAUUUUAAAUUUUAUUGUGAGAACUAACUGCUGUUAUUCCAUUUGAAAAUUUAGACAGUCAGAAUUCCAAUUUUUCCCAAUCUUUAAGUUCAGUAUGUUGAUUUAAAUACUGUAUUUGUGAUUGUGCAUAUUUCAAUGUCUUUUAAAUGAAUAAUGUUUAGUCUCAUUUACAGGCAUACAUUUUCACACAUUUACAACGCUAUUUAUAAAUUUAUAUACUGUUUUUCUUACUAAAUAAUUCUACUAAAUAUACCAAAUGUUUCCAAAUAGUAAAAUGACUUUGGUAAUAUAAAAAUUAAACAUACAAAAAUAGUGAGAUUUAGGUUUUUUUCACUUCUUGGGAUUGAACCCAGGUUCUUCACACUGAGCUACUUUUUAUUUUGAGACAGCCCAGCCCUUUUUAUUUUGAGACGGGAUCUUGCAACUUUGCUGAGAUGGGACUUGACCUUGUAGCCCUUUUGCCUCAGCCUCCCAAGUGCUAGUAUUAAGGCAUGUACCACUCUAGCAGAUGAGAUUCACGUUUUUCAAAAAGUUCUAGUUUGGUAAAAAAUAAAGUAUACUCCCCAAUUAAUAUUCUUUACAUAAAUUGUUUAAUUACACAUUUGAAAUUGGCAUUGUAUGGCUUUAGAGUGAAAGCUAAAAUUCUUUUUAAUAUCAAAGAAAAUAAAAUGUCAAUCAUAUACAAAUUCUUUUCUAAUAAAAUAUUUGUACUAUGUUUUUCAUUUCUUGUCAGAUUCUGUGAUAUGUUCUUCUGGUAGACUGUAUUUCCCAAUAAUGGUCACACUAUAUUCCCUAUCACCCAGG
Molecule: long non-coding RNA, 3050 nt
Organism: Heterocephalus glaber (naked mole-rat)
Lineage: Eukaryota; Metazoa; Chordata; Mammalia; Rodentia; Bathyergidae
Source: Ensembl